AUAACCAAUCAAGCUCUGCUUGGCCUUGGGGCCCGCUGUUUUAGCGGCUCUUAAAACCAGUGGCAGUGCCGUCUGGCUCUAAGCGUAGUAAUUCUCCUCGCUAUAGAGCCUUGAUGCUCACCCGCCAGAACUUCAACUUUUCAA
Molecule: unclassified non-coding RNA, 144 nt
Filed under: uncultured Hyaloscyphaceae
Lineage: Eukaryota; Fungi; Ascomycota; Leotiomycetes; Helotiales
Description: sequence contains ITS2
Source: RNAcentral